Molecule: long non-coding RNA, 405 nt
Filed under: Rattus norvegicus (Norway rat)
Lineage: Eukaryota; Metazoa; Chordata; Mammalia; Rodentia; Muridae
Description: long non-coding RNA NONRATT002147
Source: RNAcentral
GAGGCCUAUGCAGCUCUCUCUGUUGCAAUAGCCAAAGAGCUUGGAUUAAACCCCGAGAAGGUGAACAUCGAUGGAGGAGCCAUUGCCUUGGGACAUCCUCUGGGAGCAUCUGGCUGUAGGAUUCUAGUGACCUUGUUACACACCCUGGAGAGAGUGGGUGGGACUCGUGGUGUUGCAGCCCUGUGCAUUGGGGGUGGGAUGGGGAUCGCAAUGUGUGUUCAGAGAGGGUGAGCCACCACCCUUACAGUUCUCAUUCAAACACUAAACAGAAAGAACGUGAGACCAGAGGACCACAGUGAGGACAGGAACCCAGGUCGACAGCUCGUUGUACUUUAAUGUGAGACACCCAAGGCUAAGACAUUACACCCAACACUGUCAUAAAUAAAAGGGAAGUCCAAUCAGUCA